This 2831-nucleotide ribosomal RNA is filed under the name Ziziphus jujuba (common jujube). RNAcentral's name for it is "bacterial LSU rRNA". It matches the Rfam family "Bacterial large subunit ribosomal RNA". The record is from RNAcentral. Lineage: Eukaryota; Viridiplantae; Streptophyta; Magnoliopsida; Rosales; Rhamnaceae.
UCAAAUAAGGAAAGGCUUACAAUGGAUACCUAGGCACCUAGAGAUGAGGAAGAGCGUAAUAAACGAUGAAAUGAUUCGAGGAGUUGAAAAUAAGCGUAGAUCCAGAGAUUCCUGAAUAGGUCAACCUUUUGAAUUACUAUUGAAUCCAUGGGUAGGCAAGAGACAACCUGGAGAACUGAAACAUCUUAGUAGCUAGAGGAAAAGAAAGCAAAACGAUUCCCGGAGUAGCGGCGAGCGAAAUGGGAGCAGCCUAAACCAUGAAAAUGGGGUUGUGGGAGAGCAAUACAAAUGUCAUGCUGCUAGGUGAAGCGGUGGAGUGCUAUACCCUAGAUGGAGAGAGUCCAGUAGCCGAAAGUAUCACUAGCUUAUGCUCUAACCCAAGUAGCAUGGGACACGUGGAAUCUCGUGUGACUCGGCAAGGACCACCUUGCAAGGCUAAAUACUCUUGGGUGACAGAUAGUGAGGUAGUACCAUGAGGGAAGGGUGAAAAGAAUCCCCAUCGAGGAGUGAAAAUAGAACAUGAAACCGUAAGCUCCCAAGUAGUGAGAGGAGACCAGGGCUCUGACCGCGUGCCUAUUGAAGAAUGAGCCGGUGACUUAUAGGCAGUGGCUUGGUUAAGGGAACCCACCGGAGCGGUAAGGAAAGUGAGUCUUCAUAGGGCAAUUGUCACUACUUAUGGACCGGAACCUGGUUGAUCUAUCUAUCACCAAGAUGAAGCUUGGGUGAAACUAAGUGGAGGUCAGAACCGACUGAUGUUGAAGAACCAAUGGAUGAGUUGUGGUUAGGGGUGAAAUACCAUUCGAACAUAGACCUAGCUGGUUCUCCUCGAAAUGGGUUAACGCAUAGCAGUUGACUGGGCAUCUAGAGGUAAAGCACUGUUUCAGUGUGGGCUGCGAGAGUGGUACCAAAUUGAAGCAAACUCUGAAUACUAGAUAUGACCUUAACAUAACAGGGGUCAAGGUCGGCCAGUGAGAUGAUGGGGGAUAAGCUUCAUCGUCGAGAGGGAAACAACAUGGAUCACCAGCUAAGGCCCCUAAAUGACCGCUUAGUGAUAAAGGAGGUAGGGGUGCAGAGACAGCCAGGAGGUUUGCCUAGAAGCAACCACCCGUGAAAGAGUGUGUAAUAGCUUACUAAUCGAGUGCUCUUUCAUCGAAGAUGAACUGGGCUAAGCGAUCUAUCGAAGCUAUAAGAUGUAAAAAUGCAUCGGUAAGGGAAUGUUCUGCCUAGAGGGAAGCACCCACGUGAGCUGUGGUAGAUAAAGCGGAAGUGAGAAUGUUGACUUGAGUAACGCAAAUAUUUGCAAGGUUCAUCCAUAGAGGGUGAGUCAGGGCCUAAGAUCAGGCCCAAAGGCAUAGUCGAGGACAACAGGUGAAUAUUCCUGUACUACCCCUUGUUGGUCCCAAAGGACGGAGGAGUCUAGGUUAGCCAAAAGAUGGUUAUCGGUUCAAGGAUGCACGGUGCUCCUACUUUUUUAGGGUAAAAAGGGGUAUAGAAAAUGCCCUAGGCUAAUGUUCGAGUACCAGGUGCUAUGGCGCUGAAGUCACCCAUGCCAUACUCCCAGAAAAUGGGUGCCUCCUCACAAAGGGGGUUGCAGUGACCAGUCCCGGCGAUUGUUUACCAAAAACACAGGUCUCCGUAAAGUUGUAUGACCAUGUAUGGGGGAUGAUGCCUGCCCAGUGUCGGAAGGUCAAGGAAGUUGGUGACCUGAUGAUAGGGGAGCCGGCGACCGAAGCCUCGGUGAAUGGUGGCCGUAACUAACGGUCCUAAGGUAGUGAAAUUCCUUGUCAGGUAAGUUCUGACCCGCAUGAAAGGUGUAACGAUCUAGGCAUUGUCUCAGAGAGAGGCUCGGUGAAAUAGACAUGUCUGUGAAGAUACAGACUACCUGUACCUAGACAGAAAGACCCUAUGAAGCUUCACUAUUCCCUGGGAUUGGCUUUGGGCCUUUCCUGCAUAGCUUAGGUGGAGGGCAAAGAAUGCCUCCUUCCGAGGGGGCCCGAGCCAUUAGUGAGAUACCACUCUAGAAGAGCUAGAAUUCUAACCUUGUGUCAGGACCUACGGGCCAAAAGACAGUCUCAGGUAGAAAGUUUCUAUGGGCUAUAGGCCUCCUAAAAGAUAAUGGAAGUGUGAAAAGGUUUCCUCAGGCCAGACAGAGAUUAGCCCUCGAGUGUAAAGGUAGAAAGGAGCUUGACUACAAGACCAAACCAUCAAGCAAGGAUGAAAGUCAACCUUAAUGAUCUAAUGGUGCCGAGUGGAAGGGCCGUCGCUUAAUGGAUUAAAGGUACUCUAGAGAUAAUAGGCUGAUCUUCCCUAAGAGCUCACAUCGACGGGAAAGUUUGGCACCUCAAUGUUGGCUCUUCGCCACCUGGGGUUGUAGUAUGUUCCAAGGGUUGGACUAUUCGCCCAUUAAAGCGGUAUGUGAGCUGGGUUCGGAACGUCAUGAGACAGUUUGAUCCAUAUUCGAUGUGGGCGUCAGAGCAUUGAGAGGACCUUUCCCUAGUAUGAGAGGACCUCUAGUUUACUAGUUAUCGUGCCCAUGGUAAACACUGGCUAGCCAAGUGCGGAGCGGAUAACUGCUGAAAGCAUCUAAGUAGUAAGCCCACCCCAAGAUGAUUGUUAUCCUAUUCUGCCUAUUCGACUUCCCUAAAGCUUCCGGUAGCACAAGCAAGACAGCGAUGGGUUUUCUGCCCUUGCGGGGGUGGAGCGACAGAAGUUUUAAGAAUUUAAGAGAAGGUCAUGGAGAGACAAGCCGUUUAUCAUUACGAUGGGUGUCAAGUGGAAAUGUAGUGAUGUAUGCAGCUGAGGCAUCCUACCAGACCGGUAGACUUAAACCU